Molecule: ribosomal RNA, 253 nt
Filed under: uncultured bacterium
Lineage: Bacteria
Description: partial 16S ribosomal RNA
Rfam family: Bacterial small subunit ribosomal RNA
Source: RNAcentral
UACGGAGGGGGCUAGCGUUGUUCGGAAUUACUGGGCGUAAAGCGCACGUAGGCGGAUAUUUAAGUCAGGGGUGAAAUCCCGGGGCUCAACCCCGGAACUGCCUUUGAUACUGGGUAUCUGGAGGUCGAGAGAGGCGAGUGGAAUUCCGAGUGUAGAGGUGAAAUUCGUAGAUAUUCGGAGGAACACCAGUGGCGAAGGCGGCUCGCUGGCUCGAUACUGACGCUGAGGCACGAAAGCUAGGGGAGCGAACGGG